AGGACGAACGCUGGCGGCGUGCUUAACACAUGCAAGUGGAGCGACGAACCAGGGCUUGCCCUGGGGCAGAGCCGCGAACGGGUGAGUAACACGUGGGUUACCUGCCUCGAUGACCGGGACAACCCGAGGAAACUCGGGCUAAUACCGGAUGUGCCCGCAAGGGGAAAGGAAGCUUCGGCCUCCGCAUUGAGAUGGGCCCGCGGCCCAUUAGCUUGUUGGUGAGGUAACGGCUCACCAAGGCUUCGAUGGGUAGCUGGUCUGAGAGGACGAUCAGCCACACUGGGACUGAGACACGGCCCAGACUCCUACGGGAGGCAGCAGUGGGGAAUCUUGCGCAAUGCGCGAAAGCGUGACGCAGCAACGCCGCGUGGGGGAAGACGGCUUUCGGGUUGUAAACCCCUUUCAGUUGGGACGAAGCUCCGCCGAUGAAUAGUCGGUUGGGGUGACGGUACCUUCACAAGAAGCACCGGCUAACUACGCGCCAGCAGCCGCGGU
Molecule: ribosomal RNA, 495 nt
Filed under: uncultured bacterium
Lineage: Bacteria
Description: SSU rRNA
Rfam family: Bacterial small subunit ribosomal RNA
Source: RNAcentral